UAGGGAAUAUUGCGCAAUGGGGGCAACCCUGACGCAGCAAUACCGCGUGAGUGAGGAAGGCCUUCGGGUUGUAAAGCUCUGUCCUUAGGGAAAAAAGCAUAAUGGUAAAUAAUCAUUGUGUUUGAUGGUACCUAAGAAGAAAGCACCGGCUAACUUCGUGCCAGCAGCCGCGGUAAUACGAAGGGUGCAAGCGUUGUUCGGAUUUAUUGGGCGUAAAGCGCGCGCAGGCGGAUUGAUAAGUCAGGUGUGAAAUCUCGAGGCUUAACCUCGAAACUGCGCCUGAAACUAUUAGUCUAGAAUAUCGGAGGGGGAAGGAGAAUUUCUCGUGUAGGGGUAAAAUCCGUAGAGAUGAGAAGGAAUACCAGAGGCGAAGGCGCCUUCCUGGCCGAAGAUUGACGCUGAGGCGCGAAAGCGUGGGGAGCAAACAGG
Molecule: ribosomal RNA, 429 nt
Filed under: uncultured bacterium
Lineage: Bacteria
Description: bacterial SSU rRNA
Rfam family: Bacterial small subunit ribosomal RNA
Source: RNAcentral